This 219-nucleotide ribosomal RNA is filed under the name uncultured bacterium. RNAcentral's name for it is "partial 16S ribosomal RNA". It matches the Rfam family "Bacterial small subunit ribosomal RNA", at positions 119 to 334 of the family's 1533-position model. The record is from RNAcentral.
ACGCACCUACCCAACCAAGGUGAAUAGCCCUCCGAAAGGAAGGAUUAAUACACCGUAAUAUGUAGAGAUGGCAUCAUUUUUAUAUUAAAGAUCGCAAGAUCGGUUUUGGAUGGGCGUGCGCCUGAUUAGGUAGUUGGUGAGGUAACGGCUCACCAAGCCUUCGAUCAGUAACUGGUGUGAGAGCACGACCAGUCACACGGGCACUGAGACACGGGCCCG